RNAcentral lists this ribosomal RNA (720 nucleotides) under uncultured Lactobacillus sp. RNAcentral's name for it is "bacterial SSU rRNA". It matches the Rfam family "Bacterial small subunit ribosomal RNA", at positions 32 to 711 of the family's 1533-position model. The record is from RNAcentral. Lineage: Bacteria; Bacillati; Bacillota; Bacilli; Lactobacillales; Lactobacillaceae.
AACGCUGGCGGCGUGCCUAAUACAUGCAAGUCGAACGCACUCUCGUUUAGAUUGAAGGAGCUUGCUCCUGAUUGAUAAACAUUUGAGUGAGUGGCGGACGGGUGAGUAACACGUGGGUAACCUGCCCUAAAGUGGGGGAUAACAUUUGGAAACAGAUGCUAAUACCGCAUAAAACCUAACGCCGCAUGGUGUAGGGUUGAAAGAUGGUUUCGGCUAUCACUUUAGGAUGGACCCGCGGUGCAUUAGUUAGUUGGUGAGGUAAAGGCUCACCAAGACCGUGAUGCAUAGCCGACCUGAGAGGGUAAUCGGCCACACUGGGACUGAGACACGGCCCAGACUCCUACGGGAGGCAGCAGUAGGGAAUCUUCCACAAUGGACGAAAGUCUGAUGGAGCAACGCCGCGUGAGUGAAGAAGGUUUUCGGAUCGUAAAACUCUAUUGUUGGAGAAGAAUGUAUCUGAUAGUAACUGAUCAGGUAGUGACGGUAUCCAACCAGAAAGCCACGGCUAACUACGUGCCAGCAGCCGCGGUAAUACGUAGGUGGCAAGCGUUGUCCGGAUUUAUUGGGCGUAAAGCGAGCGCAGGCGGUUUCUUAAGUCUGAUGUGAAAGCCUUCGGCUCAACCGAAGAAGUGCAUCGGAAACUGGGAAACUUGAGUGCAGAAGAGGACAGUGGAACUCCAUGUGUAGCGGUGAAAUGCGUAGAUAUAUGGAAGAACACCA